GUGUCUGCACCUAAAUUAAAAAGUUAGGCGCACCAGUGCAACCAAGGCAGAAAGUUAGUCUGGAGCCCUUGAAUGUGUUUUUUUGA
This is a long non-coding RNA of Etheostoma cragini (Arkansas darter), 86 nucleotides long. RefSeq lists it as uncharacterized. The record is from RefSeq and is a predicted model, not a curated record. Lineage: Eukaryota; Metazoa; Chordata; Actinopteri; Perciformes; Percidae. The transcript has 3 exons.